Molecule: long non-coding RNA, 390 nt
Organism: Hibiscus syriacus
Lineage: Eukaryota; Viridiplantae; Streptophyta; Magnoliopsida; Malvales; Malvaceae
Exons: 3
Source: RefSeq, a predicted model, not a curated record
GGAAAACAUGGUAAAAUGACCUACCGUUUGGAAAAGGGUAAGUCGUUUUCCAUCGUUCUGCAACUCCCUUGCUCCACACCGAAAACAAUUCGUUCUCUCGUCCCUUGCUCCACACCGAAAAAUUGACCGAUCCAAAGACUGGAUCCACUCAGAAAUCUUUGUCCCAGGUAUCCAUCAUUCAACCGGUAUCCGACUGCGGGCUCGCCAUUCUUUCGAUCUUAUCGCACUUCUAUUUACAAGAAGUCAUGAAUGUUAUUGACUGGUUGGGGAUUACAUUAGCUGGCAUUGGCACCAUAGGAGUUGGCGCCGGUGGAGAGGAGCAAGAGGCUUCUUCAGUAUCUAUUUUGCAGUUACCACGGUUGGCAUUCUCUGUUGUGAUAUUGUUUGUAG